Molecule: long non-coding RNA, 1972 nt
Filed under: Gossypium barbadense (sea-island cotton)
Lineage: Eukaryota; Viridiplantae; Streptophyta; Magnoliopsida; Malvales; Malvaceae
Description: long non-coding RNA (GBAR_LNC011040)
Source: RNAcentral
AAGUUCCCCAUCUCUACUCUCUGCUUUUAGUGAUUUGAAACACAUUGUUUAUGACAAAGGCAACAACAAAGUGGGGAAAGAAAGUUUCCCAGGCUUACAAGAAGAGUUGCAGAAUAUCGGUUGGGAGGAAGUUCCAAGCUCCUUUCAAUCUAUUGCGAACCGAAUCGAAAAGAAUCGUGGAAUAGUUACCGAGUUUACCUAUAAACUGGUUUGUGCUGCAAUACAAGAGAUGGAAAAUUUUCCAGUUGAGAAAUUGGACAUUGAUACGUUGAAAAACUGGGGGGCUACACUUUAUAAGGCCAAGGAACUUGGCUUUCAGGUGGGAUUUGCUGCUGAUUUGUUAAAGAAGAAUUUUUUUGCCUACUUAAGCUUACACACAAGUUUUUGGAUGAGACUAAAAAAAGGAGGUCUGCAUUUGCAGCAAAACUCACAAAACUUAUUUGGUAUUUGGGUUUCUAUAUUUUCUCUAUUUCAACUAUAUGGUUUUGGAUGUCUUGCAUGGAUUUGGUAUUUUGCAAUAAUUUAUACUAUGAUUUUUGAGACAUUGAUAUAUUUCAUCAGUAUAUGCUAAUCUAUGUAUGAAAUUGUGUUGGUUAUUUUACCUAGUUUAUUAUGUUAAAAUCGUAUGUUUAUACACAUUUUCAUUGGUUAAUAAUAUAUCUAACCUGCAACAUGUAAAUCAAUUUAUCAUUUAUAAGUUUCAUUUAUUAGCUAAACACAAUUCCAGUCUCUCUUAACAUGAAAUUCUAACUUAGCCAAAUAAGAUUUCAAUUUAUCAAUAAUUCCAGUAACUUUAUCAUGAGAUCAAUUAACGUUGUGGCACCUAGUGCCUAGUGGUAAACCGCAGAAAAAGGGUUGCGCCCAGUGCUAUUCGGAUGAACCGACGGUAAUGAAUGUGAGCUCAUCUCUGGUUGGAUAAACCAACAAUAUUUUGCACCCAGUGCUAGUAGGGUAUACCGACGAUAAUAAUUGUGAGCCUAGCUCUAGUUGGAUGAACCAACGGUGAUUGCACCUAGCGCUAGUCGGAUAAACAAAUUGUGUGCCCAGCACAAGUCAAACAAGUUGACAAAGAUUGCGCCCAACGCUAGUCGAAUGUAUCGACAAUUGUAUGACUAUUUUCUUAUCAUUAAUUCCAUCAUAUGCAUACAUUUUAUAUCAAAAGCUAAUUUAGCAUUAAUCAAUUUAAAUAAUAAUUAAAAGAAAAAUUAAGUUCAAGUCCACGAACUUACCUUAACAAAACAGUCGUAAUAGUGAGGCCGCUAGCUACUCCAUUACCUUCGUUUUUCCACGAUUCACAUCUGAUUGAUUUGUUCCUUAACCAAAGUUCAUAAUUUCAUUAUCAAACCCUAAAAUCCUAAAUUUAAUAAAAUCAUAGUUUGCUAAAUUUAUUUAUAGCAUUUAACUAAUUUCUAGUCAUUGCUAACCAAUCUCAUAUCACAAAAUAAUCUACAUAUAUUUAAUGAACUUAGUAAAUAAGUCCCAAAUUUUCCAGCAUUGAAUAGUACACUAAAACAGUCCCUAUACUUCAUCAAAUUAACAAUUUAAGCUAUGUUAUUUCAAAUUUAUAACCUUUUAGCCCUAAGAAUUAUUAUCAAUAAUACCACCACUCAUUAUGACCAAUUUAAUCUACAAAAUUUAUACUCAAAUCUUCAUAUAAAAAACAUUUAGUAUUCAACAAAAUAACCUCAAACCUUCACAUUUCUCAUCCAUGGAGACUUCCAUAAUUUCUAUUUACUCUUAACAUUUCCAUAUGGUUAAACUAACCCAUAAUAUUUUAUCAUAAAAAACAUAGAUUUCAUGCUAAAUAAUCAACUUUUACUUACAAUUUUACUCAUGUAUUCAACCCCCAUAGCAGAACAUUUCUUUCCCCCUUUCUCUUCUUCUAUUUUCUGCAGCAAGGAGAAGAGAAAAUUUUUCACUCCCACACUCAAUCUUCUUUUCACCUACUAUAUCUUUUAUCUCUUCUAUUUAC